GAGUCCGCAUUGUAAUUUGCAGAGGAUGCUUUGGGUGCGGCCCCCGUCUAAGUGCCCUGGAACGGGCCGUCAGAGAGGGUGAGAAUCCCGUCUUGGGCGGGGUGUCCGUGCCCGUGUAAAGCUCCUUCGACGAGUCGAGUUGUUUGGGAAUGCAGCUCUAAAUGGGUGGUAAAUUUCAUCUAAAGCUAAAUACUGGCCGGAGACCGAUAGCGCACAAGUAGAGUGAUCGAAAGAUGAAAAGCACUUUGAAAAGAGAGUUAAACAGCACGUGAAAUUGUUGAAAGGGAAGCGCUUGCGACCAGACUCGCCCGCGGGGUUCAGCCGGCAUUCGUGCCGGUGUACUUCCCCGUGGGCGGGCCAGCGUCGGUUUGGGCGGCCGGUCAAAGGCCCCUGGAAUGUAGUGCCCUCCGGGGCACCUUAUAGCCAGGGGUG
RNAcentral lists this ribosomal RNA (432 nucleotides) under fungal sp. RNAcentral's name for it is "eukaryotic LSU rRNA". It matches the Rfam family "Eukaryotic large subunit ribosomal RNA", at positions 134 to 570 of the family's 3401-position model. The record is from RNAcentral. Lineage: Eukaryota; Fungi.